UAAAGAAGAAAAAACAUGGCGGACAGCCACUAGCUCAAUCCACAUAAAACAAUACACAAACAUUUCAAAGCAAGGUAAACAGACUAAUAUAUUGUUUACACGCUAUACUCUUUUUAACAAACAAAUGUUUUAGCUGGUAAUUUAGCUAGCAUUUAUUGAUGAUGAUGUAUUUAUAAUCAGGCCAACGAUAGAUGGCGAACAUUAAGUCUUCCCGUUAGCGUGCUGUGUUGACGGAGCUAGCUAUCUGUUCGAGCAUGCCCAUGUUAUUAGCUUGGAGAGCUGCUGUGUCAACAGUGAGCCCUGGGUGUGUUUGGGUGGGUGACCGAGGUCUGCUGACAGCUGGGGCCACCUCUUUGUUGUACCCUGUCGUCUGCCUCCAACGCCAACCCCCUGCCUGGCCUACAGAAGUGGAGAGCGUUAAGCGCAAUCCGUGGGGAAGUCAACCUGAGCAUCCACAAAUGAAAGAGUGGACUAUUGUGUCUUGAACUUAGUAUUACUGGAGCAUGAAGAAACCAGUGCCACAAAAAGCUAUUGAGUGGAGAGAUGGCAGGCGGAUCAAGCAUGCCCGAAGUGGCCGUCCCUCCCGGGUCCCAUCGCAGUACCAAGGAGGGCACUUCAGUUGGGACAAAUACCUAAAGGAAACAGGUGCUAGUGCUGCACCUGCCCACUGCUUCAGACAGGGUGCGACACCUCCAGUGAAUGAGUUCAAGGCGGGCAUGAAGCUGGAGGCGCAGGACCCUCGGAAUACAACGUCAACCUGCAUUGCAACAGUGGUGGGCCUGACGGGAUCGCGGCUGCGUCUGCGCCUUGACGGCUCCGACAACAAGAACGACUUCUGGCGCCUGGUGGACUCGUCUGAAAUCCAGCCUAUCGGCAACUGCGAGAAGAACACGGGCAUGCUGCAACCGCCAUUGGGCUUCCGUCUGAACGCAUCCUCCUGGCCCAUGUUCCUUCUAAAAACACUCAACGGAGCCGAAAUGGCCCCAGCACGCAUCUUUCACAAGCAGGAGCCCCCGGUCCCAGAGCAGAACUCCUUCCAGGUGGGCAUGAAGCUGGAGGCAGUGGACCGCAAGAACCCCCACUUCAUCUGCCCGGCCACGGUGGGGGCGCUGCGUGGCGUGGAGGUGCUCGUCACCUUCGACGGCUGGCGGGGUGCUUUCGACUACUACUGCCGCUACGACUCCCGGGACAUCUUCCCCGUGGGCUGGUGCUCUCUCACCGGGGACAACCUGCAGCCGCCUGGUACCAAAGUGCUACCCAAGACCCUCAGUUGCCUUUCAGACGGUAGCGAGGGAACAGCCAUGCACCCCAUGCCAGGACAGCCGCCUGGCCAACGGGGACGCAAGCCAGGCUGCAGGAAAGCCAAGCUGACAGGGCCCUGGGGGCAGAAGGGGGCCAGAGUAGGACCACAGGCCCCCCCGUCUGGAAAGGGACUGGAGCCUAUCAAGGUCCCCAAGAAGAGAGGCCCCAAACCGGGGAGUAAGUUGGGCUGGGCGAAGAGAGAAGGCUGGCUGGAGGGUGCCAUGGCAGGCCCAGGGCAACCCGUGUCCCGGCCCAGAGGGAGGCUGCCAGCCAACUGGGCCCAGAGGAUGGCACUGCAGGAGGGACAAGUGGAGUCUAUCAAGAUCCCCAAAAAGAGAGGGCCCAAGCCCGGCAGCAAGAGAAAACAGCGGGUGGUGCCCAACCCCAUGCCCGUUUCCCCCAACAGCCGUAUGCCAGAGCCAGACACCAGCACGGUGCCUCUGGACAACGCCACCAUCCCCAGCGCCGCCUUGCAUGCUGCCACAGUGUGUGUCUACCUGAACAAGUAUGGGAAGGUGGGACCCCACUUGGACGGGCGGCGGGUGCAGCAGCUUCCCGACCACGUUGGUCCAGGCCGGGCUUCCUCGGUGCUACAGCAGUGUGUCCAGGCUUGUGUGGACUGUGCCCACAACCAGAGCUCUGUCUUCUCCUGCCUCAAGCCAGGUCACGGAGGAGAGGUCAUAUCAGCCCACUUCGACCACCAGCACCAUACCCUCACCCUGCCCACGGUCAACAGCGUCACGCACGUCCUGCACUUCCUGGAGAAACUCUGUCACAACCUCUACUGUGACCCUCUGUUUGGGAGCCAGCCCAUCCCAAGAGGGGGCUUGCAUUACGACAGCCAUGCCUACCCAGAAAGGAGAAGUUUUAGGGAGGGCCUCGCGACUGGUCCAGGAAGAGGCUCCAAGCGGUUCCUUCAAGAAUCCUACUACAGCCCCCUCCCCCACAAGUUGGCCAAAAACCUCUGCCUCUCCUCGGAAGGUGAGCCUUUCCUCAUGGAGAAUGGUGUAGGGGGGUCGGAGCACUUAAAGAAGAGCCCCCUGUCCCCGGGCUCGACAGGGCAGCCUCUGAGCCUGCGCUUCCCCACCAAGUUGCUACAUCUCAACUCUUCAGGCUCUGAGCGUUUCAGAGAGUGCCCCCGGCCCAGUGGCCAGGACCCCAACCUGUGGACGGUAGAGGACGUCAUGCAGUUCAUCAGACACAUAGACCCUCUACUGGCCCCCCACGCAGAUCUCUUCAGAAAACACGUGGACUCCAAUCAAGUUGUAGAAACAUCCCAAGGAUGACCAAUGGAAACAGGAUGCACCUGAGCUCAAUUUUGAGUCUCAUAGCGAAGGGUCUGAAUGCUUAUGUAAAUAUAAGGAGAUUGAUGGCAAAGCCCUCCUGUUACUACGCAGCGACAUGAUGAUGAAAUACAUGGGCUUAAAGCUCGGGCCUGCCCUCAAACUCACAUUCCACAUCGACAGGUUCAAACAUGGACGCCCUUAUUGAGCUCAUCAGCGUCCCCGCAACCCUGCUACUUCUACUCCCCUCCCCUCUACAGGAUAUAAUGCGCUGCAUACUACUGGACUGACCUAGGCUACGAUACUUAGUGUCAUAUAUCACCCUCCCUUUCCCUGCCGCAUCUAAGAAGCCCUGUUGCGAAUUUCUCUUAUUUAGAUUUUAUUUCUGUUGUGUGGCACAAUCCAGCCCUACGGCAGCAUGGGAUAUUGGAUAUGCAGACUGACUGACUCGCCCACAUAUCCUCCUCAUCCAUCAUGUUACUCGCCUGUUUUUCUAUUCCAUAUUCUCUUACAACAACAAUGAUGCCCUCCCUGUGUGUAGCCAUUUUUUACUGUAAUGGCCAUUUUAGGCCCGAGUUUUUAUUACAUCGUUUCUUUUUGUUUGAUCAAGUACAUUUCUUUUUUGUACCCUCCCUGAAAAUAAGGACUUGCAUUAAGCCAUUUUCACCGUUUUGUAUUAAAUAUGUAUACUGAACAAAAAUAUAAAUGCAACAUGUAAAGGGUUGGUCCCAUGUUUCAUGGGCUGAAAUAAAAGAUCCCAGAAAUGUUC
Oncorhynchus keta (chum salmon) is the source of this 3354-nucleotide RNA transcript. It is a transcript of the gene named polycomb protein SCMH1-like, with no coding region annotated. The record is from RefSeq and is a predicted model, not a curated record. Lineage: Eukaryota; Metazoa; Chordata; Actinopteri; Salmoniformes; Salmonidae. The transcript has 18 exons.